CCAUUAUUUUAAGAUGAUUUACUUCCUGACUUAAAUAUAAUAUAGCAGUAGAUCUUUGAGACAAUGCUUUUUUAAUAUUGUCUUCUUUAAUCUUUUUUAUUAUGUUUGGGCUCUUUGUGUUUUUGACAGGCCUUAGGCUACUUUCACAGGGCAGAACAAGUGGAUCCAAACUUCUACAGCAAAAACUUACUUCUUUUAGGAAAGACAUACUUGAAACUACACAACAAAAAGCUUGCUGCUUUCUGGCUAAUGAAAGCCAAGGACUAUCCAGCACACACAGAGGAGGAUAAACAGAUACAGACAGAAGCUGCUCAGUUGCUUACAAGUUUCAGUGAGAAGAAUUGAGAACUUUUCAGAGAAGAUUUAUGAAAUAGCUAAUAAACAUUGCCUUUUCUUUUAAUUCUAAA
Molecule: non-coding RNA, 407 nt
Filed under: Pan troglodytes (chimpanzee)
Lineage: Eukaryota; Metazoa; Chordata; Mammalia; Primates; Hominidae
Also listed under: 1 other name
Source: RNAcentral